Molecule: ribosomal RNA, 1104 nt
Filed under: compost metagenome
Description: bacterial SSU rRNA
Rfam family: Bacterial small subunit ribosomal RNA
Source: RNAcentral
AGAGUUUGAUCCUGGCUCAGGAUGAGCGCUGGCGGCGUGCCUAAUACAUGCAAGUCGAGCGGUAACAGGGGUAGCUUGCUACCCGCUGACGAGCGGCGGACGGCUGAGUAACGCGUAGGAACGUACCCCGAAGUGAGGGAUAACUGCCCGAAAGGGUGGCUAAUACCGCAUGUGCUCUACGGAGUAAAGCUUCGGCGCUUCGGGAGCGGCCUGCGUCCGAUUAGCUAGUUGGUGAGGUAAUGGCUCACCAAGGCGACGAUCGGUAGCUGGUCUGAGAGGAUGAUCAGCCAGACUGGGACUGAGACACGGCCCAGACUCCUACGGGAGGCAGCAGUAGGGAAUUUUCCACAAUGGGCGAAAGCCUGAUGGAGCAACGCCGCGUGCAGGAUGAAGGCCUUCGGGUUGUAAACUGCUUUUCUCUGUGACGAUUAUGACGGUAGCAGAGGAAUAAGGGCCUGCUAACUACGUGCCAGCAGCCGCGGUCAUACGUAGGGCCCAAGCGUUAUCCGGAAUUACUGGGCGUAAAGAGUUGCGUAGGUGGCUCGGUAAGUAGAUAGUGAAAGCGUGUGGCUCAACCAUACAUCCAUUAUCUAAACUGCCGUAGCUAGAGGGCGAGAGAGGUAGAUGGAAUUCCUGAUGUAGGGGUAAUAUCCGUAGAUAUCAGGAGGAACACCGAUGGCGUAGGCAGUCUACUGGCUCGUUCCUGACACUAAGGCACGAAAGCGUGGGGAGCGACCGGGAUUAGAUACCCCGUUAGUCCACGCCGUAAACGAUGGAUGCUAGCUGUUGGAGGUAUCGACCCCUUCAGUAGCGAAGCUAACGCGUUAAGCAUCCCGCCUGUGGAGUACGAGCGCAAGCUUAAAACAUAAAGGAAUUGACGGGGACCCGCACAAGCGGUGGAGCGUGUUGUUUAAUUCGAUGGUAAGCGAAGAACCUUACCCAGGCUUGACAUCCCGAGAAGGCUUCCGAAAGGAAACCGUGCCGCAAGGAACUCGGUGACAGGUGAUGCAUGGCCGUCGUCAGCUCGUGUCGUGAGAUGUUUGGUUAAGUCCAUCAACGAGCGCAACCCUUAUAGCUAGUUGGACUUCUCUAGCUAGACUGCCC